RNAcentral lists this ribosomal RNA (467 nucleotides) under uncultured bacterium. RNAcentral describes it as "partial 16S ribosomal RNA". It matches the Rfam family "Bacterial small subunit ribosomal RNA", at positions 28 to 507 of the family's 1533-position model. The record is from RNAcentral.
GAUGAACGCUGGCGGCGUGCUUAACACAUGCAAGUCGAACGGUGAAGCAGAGCUUGCUCUGUGGAUCAGUGGCGAACGGGUGAGUAACACGUGAGCAACCUGCCCCUGACUCUGGGAUAAGCGCUGGAAACGGCGUCUAAUACUGGAUAUGAGCUGCGACCGCAUGGUCAGCAGUUGGAAAGAUUUUUCGGUCUGGGAUGGGCUCACGGCCUAUCAGCUUGUUGGUGAGGUAAUGGCUCACCAAGGCGUCGACGGGUAGCCGGCCUGAGAGGGUGACCGGCCACACUGGGACUGAGACACGGCCCAGACUCCUACGGGAGGCAGCAGUGGGGAAUAUUGCACAAUGGGCGAAAGCCUGAUGCAGCAACGCCGCGUGAGGGAUGACUGCCUUCGGGUUGUAAACCUCUUUUAGCAGGGAAGAAGCGAAAGUGACGGUACCUGCAGAAAAAGCGCCGGCUAACUACGUG